Long non-coding RNA from Rosa rugosa (rugosa rose), 1751 nucleotides. RefSeq lists it as uncharacterized. The record is from RefSeq and is a predicted model, not a curated record. The transcript has 5 exons. NCBI's taxonomy places the organism in Eukaryota, Viridiplantae, Streptophyta, Magnoliopsida, Rosales, Rosaceae.
CUAAACCAACCAAACCGCUGAUGAAGUAAAGCACCAAAUUGUAAAAUAUUUUGAUUGCAUGGUUGGUGAAUCUCCAAUUCAGUUUGGUGAGAUUCAUCAGAGGGUGUAGUGGAAAAGAGUUAGCCACGUACGCACUGGCGGAUCUAGGUAGAGGGUGGGGCGGGCUCAAGCCCGUCCAUAAUGAAGCCCACCCGAAGUACGCCCCAGUCCUGACUCCUGAACUCGAAGUUUGGUCUGGAGACUACGGCCUAUUCCAACGCGUUAUUCUCCAGUCUCUCCUCCUCCUCCUCUCGCUUUUUGCAGCUCUGCCCUUCUCCACUUCUCUCAAAGAUCAAGUCGUAUCUACUUCUCUUACUCUCGCUCUUCAAUUUGGGGCAAUGAAUUCAAUUGGAUUGAAGAUUUCAUGGAUUGAAGAAUGAAGGUUGCGGUCAAAAGAGGGAUAGCUGCUACUAUGCUAUCCACAACCAUGACUAAGAGAACAAAGAAGGCUGGAAUCGUCGGGAAAUAUGGAGGCUUCUUUUUGUUUGUUUGUUUAAUUGUGAAUGGCACUAUGAAUUGGAACUAUGAACUGGAACACAAAGUGAAUGGCAAAAGCUUGAGUUCAUUAUUAGAGUAGGUUGAGUAGCUGAAAUCAAAGGGUUCUAUUUGCAAGCUUAGAGAAGAAGAAAAUGCCGGUGCGGGAGAGUAUCCAAUCUCAGUUUUAUUCUCUAUAUUUAAUAUAAAUGUUUCUUUUGAUCAAUUUGUCUAUACAUGAAAUUUCAUAUUGAGUGUAAUAAAAUAAAGAUGUAUAUUUAGCAUUAUGAGGUGCGUGAAUAAAAUUUCUUUUAUAUAUAUACUAGCCUCUUGAUACACACUCUGUGCGUGCCAUUUGGGCAUUUAUUUUUAAAAAUUUGUGAAAAUAAAUAGAGAUUGAAAAACAAAAAAGAAAAUACAUGGAUAGUGGGUAGUUAUUUUCAGUUUUAUGGCUAACAUUAAUUUUACCCUCUCAUGAUGAAAAUGUUGUUAUUCUUCAUAUUAAUAAACUAUGGGCAUUACAGGUACUUCAAAAAUUUAACCAUUCUCUACAGAAUUGGCUUAAUUAAUAAAGAUAUAUUAAACUAUAACUUGUUCAAGUAAAUCUUUAUUUUGUGUCUGGCCCAAACUCUAGGUUACUUGACCUAGUGGUAAUAGGGUUAGUUAGAGAAUCUUAGAGAUUCCUAUUCAAUAUAUGAUUACCUUUCCUUGUAUGAUUCAGAUUAUAUGCAUUGUAAUCCUCUAUAUAAAGAGGAUUACACAGCGAUUUUCUCUCAAUUCCCAUUUCUCUAAAACACGUUAUCAGCACGAAGCCCUAACCCUGAAACCCUAAUUUCGUAGCCCUCAAAUCUCAGCAUCCACCACCCCACAUAUCAGAGCCCUAGCCUCAAGGAAUCCAGAACCGGCGGCGGAACCACCGGAACCAGCCGGAAUCUACCUGAACCGGCCGUCAGAAAAAUCGGACCGGCCCCUACCUUGUGGCUUGUGCCUGCCCCCUGCACAUCUGUCGAGAAGCUGCCGAGCCCCUGCCGACAGCUCCGCACAGGCCCCUGUUGAGAUCUGCCGUCCCCUCGCAGGCCCUGCCGAGCACCUACCGACAGAUUGCCUGCCAGCUCCACACAACCCCUGCGCAGACCCUGUACAACCCCUACAGCAGCACCGCAUAGCCCUGCCUAGCUCCGGCCACCACCGCUGGCCACCAGAUUCCGGCCAAUCUUCUGGCGACCUCCGGCGACAGU